Molecule: ribosomal RNA, 473 nt
Filed under: Streptococcus sp. oral taxon 074
Lineage: Bacteria; Bacillati; Bacillota; Bacilli; Lactobacillales; Streptococcaceae
Description: bacterial SSU rRNA
Rfam family: Bacterial small subunit ribosomal RNA
Source: RNAcentral
GAUGAACGCUGGCGGCGUGCCUAAUACAUGCAAGUAGAACGCUGAAGGAGGAGCUUGCUUUUCUGGAUGAGUUGCGAACGGGUGAGUAACGCGUAGGUAACCUGCCUGGUAGCGGGGGAUAACUAUUGGAAACGAUAGCUAAUACCGCAUGACAACAGUUAUUGCAUGAUAACUGUUUAAAAGGGGCAAUUGCUUCCACUACCAGAUGGACCUGCGUUGUAUUAGCUAGUUGGUGAGGUAACGGCUCACCAAGGCGACGAUACAUAGCCGACCUGAGAGGGUGAUCGGCCACACUGGGACUGAGACACGGCCCAGACUCCUACGGGAGGCAGCAGUAGGGAAUCUUCGGCAAUGGACGGAAGUCUGACCGAGCAACGCCGCGUGAGUGAAGAAGGUUUUCGGAUCGUAAAGCUCUGUUGUAAGAGAAGAACGAGUGUGAGAGUGGAAAGUUCACACUGUGACGGUAUCUACCA